RNAcentral lists this ribosomal RNA (253 nucleotides) under uncultured bacterium. RNAcentral describes it as "partial 16S ribosomal RNA". It matches the Rfam family "Bacterial small subunit ribosomal RNA", at positions 524 to 776 of the family's 1533-position model. The record is from RNAcentral.
UACGUAGGGGGCAAGCGUUGUCCGGAUUUGUUGGGCGUAAAGAGCGUGUAGGCGGCCUGAAAGGUCAGCUGUGAAAACUCGAGGCUCAACCUCGAGACGUCGGUUGAAACCAUCUGGCUAGAGUCCGGAAGAGGAGUGUGGAAUUCCCGGUGUAGCGGUGAAAUGCGCAGAUAUCGGGAAGAACACCCGUGGCGAAGGCGGCACUCUGGGACGGUACUGACGCUGAGACGCGAAAGCGUGGGGAGCGAACAGG